CCCUGCCCCAUAAAAAUAUAUGAACUGAAGCAAUCUCUACGUAUACUCCACGGUCUCUUCUCCCAUGGAGUCCAUCGUCUCUAGCUAUGCCAAUAGAAAAAAGGUCAUUGUCUCUCUCAAGCUGAAGCAACGAUGCAGACAGGUGUUUUCCAGCCAUACACACGUACAUGACGAUUGCCGAUUGGUACUGCGAGGCGAUGAAAGUAUAUGGCCGAAUUCGUUGACAUAUAGAAGCGCAGGCGGCUGGAUCGAUUUCAUAGGGAGACACGGGUACAUGAAGCUAAUCCGUUCGAUCCGCUCAGCAAAAUACGCGCACAUGAGGACUCAAUUUAAUGCGCCAUAGAUUCAGGCGUUCGAUAGUUUUAGUCAGAAAUAUAUUCGCAUUACCUCUUCUGAUUUAUUUGCAGUUUUCGUCAGAAAUAUAUUUGCAUUGCUUCUUCUGAUUUAUUUGCAACACUGACUCAGCUGUACGUACAAGAUGAAAGAGGCCUCCCUACAAGACGAUCUCACCCGCAGCAGGAAGAGAUAGAACUGGCGAGUGGUGACAAACUAAUGUUGUGUGAUGCUGCGUUCCAGCGACAUCAAUGGUUGCACAAGAUAAGAUGCAAGUCACGCCAUGCAUGACAUAUGUCCUGUGUCAUCUACAUGCUUUAAGAAAAAUAAGAUCCAUGUUCUCUUUAUUGCUUAAGUGUAUGUCCGUUGAGAUGAUUCCGCUUUGACCUUUCUUCUAACCCCAACUUAUGGAGAAGCAAUUUCAUUGAGCCUUUGGUAGAAAAG
RNAcentral lists this long non-coding RNA (777 nucleotides) under Hordeum vulgare. RNAcentral's name for it is "long non-coding RNA (HVUL_LNC000498)". Lineage: Eukaryota; Viridiplantae; Streptophyta; Magnoliopsida; Poales; Poaceae. The record is from RNAcentral.